Molecule: ribosomal RNA, 203 nt
Filed under: uncultured bacterium
Lineage: Bacteria
Description: partial 16S ribosomal RNA
Rfam family: Bacterial small subunit ribosomal RNA
Source: RNAcentral
CGCCGUAGAGGGGGAUAACUACUGGAAACGGUGGCUAAUACCGCAUAAUGUCUACGGACCAAAGCAGGGGCUCUUCGGACCUUGCACUAUCGGAUGAACCCAUAUGGGAUUAGCUAGUAGGUGGGGUAAAGGCUCACCUAGGCGACGAUCUCUAGCUGGUCUGAGAGGAUGAUCAGCCACACUGGGACUGAGACACGGCCCAG